AUGCGCGUUCCCGUCCCGCCCACACCCCCGACACACAGACACCCCGAGUGCGGACAGGGACCGUGCUCCAGGCUCGGGCGGAGUGCGGUCCAGCUGAACGUCCAGGACCGCCACUCCCGCAGCCCCCACACCAAAAGCCUGUGGCCCGUAGAACUAUACCUACACGUGCGUCGAAAGACAAAGACCUGGAUUGGAGAUAGGCCCGGCCCUCUGUGCUUCUUAGGUUUGAUCUUGUGUAGCACUGCCCGUUUCCACUCUUGCCCGUCCCUCCCUUUACAUCUACCGGGAUACCUGCGCUACCAGCUCCCCCGGGGCAAAAGCCGGUCUCCUCCGUCUCUCUGUGCCCGCCAUUGCCCAGCACUGUCCAACACAAGAUCAGGCACAUGUCAGUGGAAGUCAGCAUUCGUUGAGCGACCCAUGUCCUCAGGGAGCAGCAGUGUUAGUGGGAAGCGUACAUUUCAAACCCAGGUAAAUGAUUUGCUUUCUAACAUAGCCCACCAAAUGCCUGACCGAGUGUAGGAAUACGCAUCCUAGAUCACCCGUCUUGAAGUCACCCCAAGAGUACAUAAAUAUACCCAGCUCCAGACCAUCAUGCACCUGUCUCUUGAGACUCUGCACCCUACUUUGAAUGUGUGUUUUAAAAACUCUGCCUAAAAAACCUCUUUCUGCUUCUCUCACAGGCACAUCCUUUUUUUUUUUUUUAAAUAUCCAGAAUGUGUUUGUUGGGGUGGCUUCCCAUUCAUCUUGAUUCAGGGUACUGUUAGCGCUGCCUCCUCCUGAAGGAGCACCCUUCUUUGACCGUUGCUUUGCCUCUUAUCAGCUGACAGAGGACAGUGGAGCAGCCAACACACAGAACUACCGUCUGUGCACGGCUAAAGACCGUGGUGAUUUUAUGGCAUCCUGGGCACGUCACAUCCAGGAAAUAAGAAAUGAGGCUCUGUACCAGGCGCUUCUCCUUGGGCUUCCUCUUCUCUUCUGGAGAGGGAUGAAGGAAAUCUUUCGCCAGAGGCAUGUUCUCGUGGGAAGGUCGUCACCACCAGAAAGGCUCACUGGCACAUCUUGAAAAUUCUCUUUCUGUGAUGGAAGUCAGCGAAUCUGCAGUCUACCCCGCAGGUGGGGUGAGUUGAGAUCCCCAUCUCCUGCCUGGGAAACCUCCACAGACCCCAUCCAUGGCACUUAUCCCUACUUCUCAGUGUCCAGUUGAGAUGAUUCAAUGAAGCCGGGCAUGGUGGUACACGCCUGUAAUCCCAGCAGUUGGGAGGCUGAGGCAGGAGGAUCGUUGCAAGUUCGAAGCCAGCCUGGGCUACAAAGUGAGCUCAAGGCCAGCUUGAACUGCACAGCGAGACCCUGUCUCAAAAAAAGACCAAAAAAAAGAGAGAGAUGAUUCAAUGAGAACAUAAGAGUAGAACUGUAUUCUCAUGCGCCUUGUGUUUUUCUUUCCCUCUCCUCCUCUCCCUCCUUGUCCCUCCUCUUCUUGCC
This 1479-nucleotide long non-coding RNA is filed under the name Chinchilla lanigera (long-tailed chinchilla). Its description in RNAcentral is "lncRNA (ENSCLAG00000023641.1)". Lineage: Eukaryota; Metazoa; Chordata; Mammalia; Rodentia; Chinchillidae. The record is from RNAcentral.